AUGAAGAAAAGGUUAUGGUAUGAUGAGAAGAGAGCUCACCUAGGUGAGCAAUUUGUGAAGCAUCUUUGCUUCAUUGAUGUGUACCAGUUCAGGAAUGCACUUCAAACAAUGCACAUUGCACAGAACAGGAACCAUGAGUACCAUAGAAAUUGCAGUGACAGGGUUAUAGCACAAUGCAUAGAUGAGACAUGCCCUUUUUAUAUAGCAGCUUCUCAGAUUGCAAAUGAGAAGACUUUUACCAUAAGGAAGCAGUAUGUGGUGCACACUUGUCCUUCUGUGUCAGAGAACACAAAAGUUACUGCUAAGUGGGUUGCAAAGUUUUGUGAGGAAGCAAUCAGAAAUGACCCAUGCACAACAAUCACUACUAUAAUUAACACUGCAAAGAGCAAGUAUGGAGUGGAAAUAUCAACCCACAUGGCAUACAGGGCUAAGAAGGCAGCAAAGAAUGUUGUGUUAGGAGAUCAGAAGGCCCAGUACACCAGGAUUAGGGAUUAUUUGCAGCAAAGAAUGUUGUCUUUGGCAGCUUACAGUCCUAUAAUAUAUCCUGUACCUGGCCCUGACAUGUGGCCAAGGACAGAUAGUUUGGACAUUGAGGCUCCUGUUUUCAAAGAACACAAGGGCAGAGCACAGACUAAGAGGAGAAAGGGCCAAUUUGAGAAGCCAGCUCCCAAAGACACUUCAAGAAUGGCCUCAAUUACCUGCUCCAACUGUAAAAAGGUGGGCCAUAGGUACACCAAUUGCCAUGAUGCUCUAAAGCCUGCACUUGCUAUGAGAAAGAACAAACAUCAGGUAACCACUCUGCUAUGA
RNAcentral lists this ribosomal RNA (807 nucleotides) under Triticum aestivum (bread wheat). RNAcentral describes it as "partial small subunit ribosomal RNA". The record is from RNAcentral. Lineage: Eukaryota; Viridiplantae; Streptophyta; Magnoliopsida; Poales; Poaceae.